This 189-nucleotide microRNA precursor is filed under the name Oryza rufipogon (brownbeard rice). RNAcentral describes it as "MIR812 microRNA precursor family". It matches the Rfam family "MIR812 microRNA precursor family". The record is from Rfam by way of RNAcentral. Lineage: Eukaryota; Viridiplantae; Streptophyta; Magnoliopsida; Poales; Poaceae.
AAAAAGAUAAACUAUGGGUUUUCGUGUCCAACUUUGACUGUCCGUUUUAUAUGAAUUUUGUUUAUAAUUUAUAUUUUUAUUAUUGUUAGAUGAUAAAACAUGAUUAAUAUUUUAUACGUGACUUGUCUUUUUAUUUUUUUAAUAAUUUUUUUAAAUAAGACGGACGGUCAAACGUUAGACACAGAAAAC